GACGAACGCUGGCGGCGUGCUUAACACAUGCAAGUCGUACGGUAAGGCCCUUUCGGGGGUACACGAGUGGCGAACGGGUGAGUAACACGUGAGUAACCUGCCCACAACUUUGGGAUAACGCUAGGAAACUGGUGCUGAUACUGGAUAUGUGCUCCUGCUGCAUGGUGGGGGUUGGAAAGCUCCGGCGGUUGUGGAUGGACUCGCGGCCUAUCAGCUUGUUGGUGGGGUAGUGGCCUACCAAGGCGGCGACGGGUAGCCGGCCUGAGAGGGUGACCGGCCACAUUGGGACUGAGAGACGGCCCAGACACCUACGGGGGGCAGCAGUGGGGAAUAUUGCACAAGGGGCGCAAGCCUGAUGCAGCAGCGCCGCGUGCGGGAUGACGGCCUUCGGGUUGUAAACCGCUUUCAGCAGGGACGAAGCUUUUUGUGACGGUACCUGCAGAAGAAGCACCGGCUAACUACGUG
RNAcentral lists this ribosomal RNA (465 nucleotides) under uncultured bacterium. RNAcentral describes it as "partial 16S ribosomal RNA". It matches the Rfam family "Bacterial small subunit ribosomal RNA", at positions 28 to 507 of the family's 1533-position model. The record is from RNAcentral.